This 492-nucleotide ribosomal RNA is filed under the name uncultured bacterium. Its description in RNAcentral is "partial 16S ribosomal RNA". It matches the Rfam family "Bacterial small subunit ribosomal RNA", at positions 29 to 507 of the family's 1533-position model. The record is from RNAcentral.
AGUGAACGCUGGCGGUAGGCCUAACACAUGCGAGUCGAACGGCAGCACAGUAAGAGCUUGCUCUUACGGGUGGCGAGUGGCGGACGGGUGAGGAGUACAUCGGAAUCUACUUUUUCGUGGGGGGUAACGUAGGGAAACUUACGCUAAUACCGCAUACGACCUACGGGUGAAAGCAGGGGAUCUUCGGACCUUGCGCGAUUGAAUGAGCCGAUGUCGGAUUAGCUAGUUGGCGGGGUAAAGGCCCACCAAGGCGACGAUCCGUAGCUGGUCUGAGAGGAUGAUCAGCCACACUGGAACUGAGACACGGUCCAGACUCCUACGGGAGGCAGCAGUGGGGAAUAUUGGACAAUGGGCGCAAGCCUGAUCCAGCCAUACCGCGUGGGUGAAGAAGGCCUUCGGGUUGUAAAGCCCUUUUGUUGGGAAAGAAAAGCAGCAGGUUAAUACCCCGCUGUUCUGACGGUACCCAAAGAAUAAGCACCGGCUAACUUCGUG